UACGAGUAGUGCGAGUGUUAUUCCCCGUGACUGGGCGUAAAGGGUGCGUAGGCGGGUCUUUAAGUCAGGGGUGAAAUCCUGGAGCUCAACUCCAGAACUGCCUUUGAUACUGAGGAUCUUGAGUUCGGGAGAGGUGAGUGGAACUGCGAGUGUAGAGGUGAAAUUCGUAGAUAUUCGCAAGAACACCAGUGGCGAAGGCGGCUCACUGGCCCGAUACUGACGCUGAGGCACGAAAGCGUGGGGAGCAAACAGG
Molecule: ribosomal RNA, 253 nt
Filed under: uncultured bacterium
Lineage: Bacteria
Description: partial 16S ribosomal RNA
Rfam family: Bacterial small subunit ribosomal RNA
Source: RNAcentral